GCUAAAAACUUAGCCUUACCCCUACAAUUAUAUUUACCCUAUUUUACUUACACAAAAUAAAACAUUCUUUAAGCUUAGUAAAGGAGAUAAAAAAGUUUUUUAGAGCUAUAAAAUAAGUACCGCAAGGGAAAAAUGAAAUAAAAAUGAAACAAAAUUCAAGCAUAAUAUAGUAGAGUUUUCCCCUCGUACCUUUUGCAUCAUGAUUCAACUAGUUUAACCACGCAAAAAGAAUUUAAGUUUGACUUCCCGAAACUAAGUGAGCUACUUCAGGGCAGCUAAAUGAGCCAACCCGUCUCUGUUGCAAAAGAGUGGGAUGACCCUUAAGUAGAGGUGAUAAACCUAACGAACUUAGUGAUAGCUGGUUAUUCAGGAAAAGAAUUUUAGUUCAACUUAAAAUUACAUAAAUAAAAUAAAAUAAAAUUUUAAUUUUAAAGCAAUUCAAAUAAGGUACAGCCUAUUUGAAAUAGAAUACAAUCUAAACUAUAGGGUAAAUAUAAAAAAUUAAUGUAAUAAAGUAGGCCUAAAAGCAGCCAACUUUAAAAUAGCGUCAAAGCUUACUUCCAUAAUUUUUUAAUACUAUUAUUUACAAUGAACCCUUUAUUUUUACUGAAUAUUUCUAUAAAGUUAUAGAACCUUUUAUGUUGAAACUAGUAACAAGAAGUUAAACUUCUCCUCAAUAUAAGUAUAAGUCGACUAGGAUAAACCAUCGACAAUUAACGCUUAAAUUAAAUGUAUUAACUCCACAAGAAAAACUUACAUUACCCCACGUUAAUCUUACACCAGAACAUUUAAGGAAAGAUNNAAAAAA
This 808-nucleotide ribosomal RNA is filed under the name Engystomops petersi (Peters' dwarf frog). RNAcentral's name for it is "partial 16S ribosomal RNA". The stretch from base 246 to 362 matches the Rfam family "Bacterial large subunit ribosomal RNA", at positions 714 to 852 of the family's 2925-position model. Lineage: Eukaryota; Metazoa; Chordata; Amphibia; Anura; Leptodactylidae. The record is from RNAcentral.